This 497-nucleotide ribosomal RNA is filed under the name uncultured bacterium. RNAcentral describes it as "partial 16S ribosomal RNA". It matches the Rfam family "Bacterial small subunit ribosomal RNA", at positions 28 to 507 of the family's 1533-position model. The record is from RNAcentral.
GAUGAACGCUGGCGGCGUGCCUAAUACAUGCAAGUCGAGCGAACGGACGAGAAGCUUGCUUCUCUGAUGUUAGCGGCGGACGGGUGAGUAACACGUGGAUAACCUACCUAUAAGACUGGGAUAACUUCGGGAAACCGGAGCUAAUACCGGAUAAUAUCUUGAACCGCAUGGUUCAAAAGUGAAAGACGGUCUUGCUGUCACUUAUAGAUGGAUCCGCGCUGCAUUAGCUAGUUGGUAAGGUAACGGCUUACCAAGGCAACGAUGCAUAGCCGACCUGAGAGGGUGAUCUGCCACACUGGAACUGAGACACGGUCCAGACUCCUACGGGAGGCAGCAGUAGGGAAUCUUCCGCAAUGGGCGAAAGCCUGACGGAGCAACGCCGCGUGAGUGAUGAAGGUCUUCGGAUCGUAAAACUCUGUUAUUAGGGAAGAACAUAUGUGUAAGUAACUGUGCACAUCUUGACGGUACCUAAUCAGAAAGCCACGGCUAACUACGUG